AUGACCAUUCUUGAACAGGAUUAGUUCAAUAGGUUAUACUUCUGUAUGCCUGGAUUCUGGAGAGAGAGGAAAUCAAGUCUGGUGGAUAAACCUCUGUCGGUCGGUGGUGGUUGGCGCAAUGGAGGAACGUUCUCAGUUGGCUGUAACAUCUGAGGUGGUCUAGCGGUUACCUGACAGACU
Molecule: small RNA, 180 nt
Filed under: Olea europaea subsp. europaea
Lineage: Eukaryota; Viridiplantae; Streptophyta; Magnoliopsida; Lamiales; Oleaceae
Source: RNAcentral